Molecule: ribosomal RNA, 254 nt
Filed under: uncultured bacterium
Lineage: Bacteria
Description: partial 16S ribosomal RNA
Rfam family: Bacterial small subunit ribosomal RNA
Source: RNAcentral
UACGUAGGGGGCGAGCGUUGUCCGAAUUUACUGGGCGUAAAGCGCGCGUAGGCGGCUCUUUAAGUCCGGGGUGAAAGGUCCAGCGCUCAACGCGGACAGUGCCCUGGAGACUGGGGGGCUUGAGUGUGGCAGGGGGGACCGGAAUUCCUGGUGUAGCGGUGAAAUGCGUAGAUAUCAGGAGGAACACCGGUGGCGAAGGCGGGUCCCUGGGCUAACACUGACGCUGAGGCGCGAAAGCGCGGGGAGCGAACGGG